RNAcentral lists this ribosomal RNA (603 nucleotides) under Triticum aestivum (bread wheat). Its description in RNAcentral is "partial small subunit ribosomal RNA". The record is from RNAcentral. Lineage: Eukaryota; Viridiplantae; Streptophyta; Magnoliopsida; Poales; Poaceae.
AUGGAGCACGUCGCCGUUAUGGCCGGACUGGGGCACCUCGCGGCCGUGGUGGUACUCGCCGUCGUCGCCGGCCUUCACGCGCGGUCCAACACUUGGAUCCAGCAGCGUGGUGAAGAGGCGGUGGCGCUGACCUCCCCGCUCGCCCACAAGCUCACACUCGGCACGUACCUCGCCGUCGAGCGCAACCCGAACCUAUCCCUCCCAUCGUAUUUCCUGUUGCUCAGCGCCUGGGACCCCACGCACCGGCCGCGCCGCGUCACUUCCCCGCGUGCCUUCAUGCGAAAACUCAGGGACGAGGAGAAGACGUGGUGGAUGCUUGCCGUGCCGUGUGGUGCAGGUCGCGGCCAUGUCCCCCCUGUAGUCUUCAGGCGUCCGGAGGAGUGGCCAGCACGGAUGGUUAUAGAGGAGCACAGGGCAUGCCCGUCGGUGGUGACCAUGACAGCCGGCGGUGGCUGCAGGCACGCCUCAAGGAGAUGUUACGGACGAAAGCAGGUCGCGCAGGACGACGGCAGGUGCUCGAGGAGGCGCGGAGGUGUCCAGCGGCAGUGGGUGCAGCCAGAGGCGCGGAGUCACAUGCAUGACGGCUUGGAGCGGCAUGUUUAG